RNAcentral lists this long non-coding RNA (3052 nucleotides) under Sus scrofa (pig). Its description in RNAcentral is "lncRNA (ENSSSCG00000054159.1)". Lineage: Eukaryota; Metazoa; Chordata; Mammalia; Artiodactyla; Suidae. The record is from RNAcentral.
GGAAUGAAGUUAGCAGGGAAUAUAGAUAGUCCAGAAUUCAAGCAGUCAAAUUGUUGGCAAGAAUAGCACAACAGAGAUUUAUAUUCUGCCCUCUUUAAUCCCUUUUGCUGAGAGGAAGGUUGGUGGGGGGGGGCAGUCCUAGCUCUUAUUUCUUUAGGCAGAAAGGAAUCAAAUGGUGCUAGGCUGAGCAAAUCCUUCCCACAAUUAAGCCAGGGGCAGAAAUGCUAGGAUUUCCUUACUGUUUCCAAUCUAAGUCAUCUUUGCAAAGGACUGACCAAUACUCUAGAGCCAAAGCAUUCAUUUAUAGGCAGGCUUUGGUUUCCUUCCUUAAAUUCCUUUUUUGGGGGUGGGUGGGGGGCGUGGGUGAAUAAUGAGAAACUAGGCUUCAGAGCUUGGGUGGUCCAAUUCCCAAUCCUUUGUUGAAAGUUCUGCAGCAGACUGCUGUAGCCAGGAAGUCCCAACAAUCACGCACAGCUCUCCAGACCUUUGAGAGCACAUAGAUUUCAGCAUGCAUGCCCAGAGCCAUGCACUUUUUCACUUCCUCUGUUACCCUUGCAAAAUAAAGAUGAAGGUUCAUCCCAGCCAAAAUGAAUUGGUGGGGAAUGGCCUUUGAGCAUGUGAUGGAUUCUGGAAAGCUGCCUCCCUCACCCUAACAAUAAACACCAGUCUUUUGUUUUCUGUCAUCUCAGGCCUACCUUUUCGUUAUUAAAGAUCCAUUGCCUCUCUGAUUCUAAUAAAAGCAUUCUGAUUUUCAUGUUUUACCUGGAUUACCACCUUUGUGGGAAUUACUUCAUUUCUUUGAUUCUAAGAUGCAUUUUCUCCCCCAUUUGAACAUUUCUGAAAUGCUCAAUUAGUGUGCAAUGUAUGUGAUUGAUGUGAUAUUCCACUUUAUCCUUGGGUAAGUUGUUAAAUUGUUGAUUCCUGUUAAAGGGAUGGCAUCUUAGAAUCAAGAGAAUACCAUAGCUUCUUCAGUUAAUUUCUAGUUUAGAUCCUGAAAUUGUGUAACCACAACAUCAUGGUGGUGGUCAUGGAAGAGGAGGAAAUGAAGAGAAAUGAAGAGAGUGGGAAUAGAUUUUUUUUUUGUAUUAUUUUUCUUUAUUAGAGUACAGUUGGUUUACAGUGUUGUGUCAAUUUCUGCUGUCCAGAACAGUGACUAGUGACCUAGUCAUACAUUUAUAUACAUUCUUUUUCUCAUACUAUCUUCCAUCAAGGUGUACUCGAAGAGAUUAGACAUAGUUCCCUGUGCUGUACAAUAGGCUCUCACCUUUUAUCCAUUCUAAAUGUAAUAGUUUGCAUCUACCAACCCCAAACUCCCUAUCCAUCCCACUUCUUCCUCCCUCCCCAAGGAAAAUGUAUUAUGGUGGAAAUUUCUAGAAAUCAAUCUCUGGAUUUUGAAGGCUUCUAGGGCAGUAUGUAGAUUGUUGAUUGGGAGAAGGACUAUGCCAGAGAAAAUUUUGCUGUCUUAUUUUCACUUGGGCUUAUGGUUUGGACCUCUAUUUAGCUGCCUUUAAUGGGGCAUUUCCCUCACCUAUUGGAGUAGGAAAAUGUGCCUCUGUUUCAUCAUUACUGUCAAGAGCCAUUUAUUUAUUGUCUACUAUAUAAAAUUACAAAAGAUAUAUAAAGCAUAGCCUUUGAACCUCAGGAUAUGUUGAUUAUAGGAAAUUGAGAGAUUUUUGUGACUCCAUUGGUGGGGAAAGCCAUUCAUUCAAUAUUAUUACUUGGUAGGAGCUUUAUUAUAAUAUAAUUUACAUACCAUACAGCUCACCCAUUUAAAGUAUAUAAUUCAGUGGAUUUUAGUAUGUUCACACAGUUGGGCAAACAUCACCACAAUCAAUUUUAGGACAUUUUCAUCACCCCAAAAAGAAACUUUAGCAGUCACAUCUUCCUCCCAGCUCCCUCAACUUUAGACGUCACUAUUCCAUUUACAAUUGAAGACCAAGAGUAUAGCAUGGUGGAGAGACUAGACUAGGUCAAUGAACUAGGAUUUAGAUGUUUUGAGAAGAUUACACAUUUUGAUGUUGCUCCUUAAAAAUUAUUUGAUUUCUUUGAGCCACAUUUUCUUCAGCUGUAAAAUUGGUAGCAUAACACCUAUAUCACAUAUAGUUAUCAUUAACGUGGUGGUUGUAAGGAUUAACUAAGGUAACAAAUGUGAAAACACCAGCCGAGGGCAUGUCCCAUAGUAGGUUCAGAAUGCUGUUUUCCUAAUCCUUUGAUCUCGCCUCCAGAUGGGCCCCAGGUUGAAGUGCUGAAGGGUGGCCGGUCCCCUGCUCCCUUUAUGUGAGGAUUGCAUCUUCCGCAGGUGCCAACUCAAUGGUUCCUCCCAGAAAUCCCCUCUUGGGGAUGGUUAAAGCCCUGAGAUGUUGCUGGUGACCCCUCAACUCAGUAGUUGAAUUGAUCAUACAAAACAGAGGGUCUGAUUUCCAUUUUCUUAGGAAAGAAGAAAAGCCACAUGAUCCACUUAUUUCCAAAAAUGGGAGGUCGGCCUAUCGUAUCAAAAUUUCUGCCAACUGAAUGGUUUUCAGAUGGAUACAGGGUCCAAGGAACCAGAGCGGUCUGCAGUGGUGAUGGAUGGGGAACAACACCGAGCUAUGAUCCUCUCGGUGCCCUGUGGUGAGUUUCCAUGUAGUAAAAGGAAAAAGAGAUGAGGAUCACUGGACUCCAAAAAUUGACCCUACUGGCUUUUGCUCUGGAAAAACUUACUGGGCAGUGCCAAGACUGUUUUCAAAAAUCUCAGAGAGGUCUGGCUUGUUUUUAUUUGUCCACCUUCAAGGAGUAGAACGGCAAGGGGUAUUUCUGUCUUAAUGUGUUGGUUGGUGAAAUUGAAGUGUUGGGUAAUUUCUGUGGUCUGAGGACCUGGAAGUCUUCCAAGGAGAACAUUUAUGAUGAUCUUCUCAUGAUUCUGAACCCUCUGCUCCUGCUUCUGUCAGAAUCAGGAUGCCCCUGAGAGCUUUUGGCUCUCCCUGUAUCUCUAUUGACUUCUGCCAGCACCAGCUUGAGGUUAUUAGACUGAAAACAGUUUAGUAAAUAUAAGUUGAUUGACAAAACUAUUUGG